UACACUCCUGCGGGAGGCAGCAGUGGGGAAUAUUGGACAAUGGGCGCAAGCCUGAUCCAGCCAUGCCGCGUGAGUGAUGAAGGCCCUAGGGUUGUAAAGCUCUUUCACCGGUGAAGAUAAUGACGGUAACCGGAGAAGAAGCCCCGGCUAACUUCGUGCCAGCAGCCGCGGUAAUACAAAGGGGGCUAGCGUUGUUCGGAUUUACUGGGCGUAAAGCGCACGUAGGCGGACUAUUAAGUCAGGGGUGAAAUCCCGGGGCUCAACCCCGGAACUGCCUUUGAUACUGGUAGUCUUGAGUUCGAGAGAGGUGAGUGGAAUUCCGAGUGUAGAGGUGAAAUUCGUAGAUAUUCGGAGGAACACCAGUGGCGAAGGCGGCUCACUGGCUCGAUACUGACGCUGAGGUGCGAAAGCGUGGGGAGCAAACAGGAUUAGAAACCCCAGUAGUCCCA
Molecule: ribosomal RNA, 449 nt
Filed under: uncultured organism
Description: partial 16S ribosomal RNA
Rfam family: Bacterial small subunit ribosomal RNA
Source: RNAcentral